This 469-nucleotide ribosomal RNA is filed under the name uncultured bacterium. RNAcentral's name for it is "partial 16S ribosomal RNA". It matches the Rfam family "Bacterial small subunit ribosomal RNA", at positions 28 to 507 of the family's 1533-position model. The record is from RNAcentral.
GACGAACGCUGGCGGCGUGCUUAACACAUGCAAGUCGAACGGAAAGGCCCUGCUUGCAGGGUGCUCGAGUGGCGAACGGGUGAGUAACACGUGGGUGAUCUGCCCCUUACUUUGGGAUAAGCCUGGGAAACUGGGUCUAAUACUGGAUAGGACCAUGCUGUAGGUGGUGUGGUGGAAAGAUUAGUUUCGGUAAGGGAUGAGCUCGCGGCCUAUCAGCUUGUUGGUGGGGUAAUGGCCUACCAAGGCGUCGACGGGUAGCCGGCCUGAGAGGGUGGACGGCCACAUUGGGACUGAGAGACGGCCCAGACUCCUACGGGAGGCAGCAGUGGGGAAUAUGGCACAAUGGGCGCAAGCCUGAUGCAGCGACGCCGCGUGGGGGAUGACGGCCUUCGGGUUGUAAACUCCUUUCAGCCAUGACGAAGCCCUUGUGGUGACGGUAGUGGUAGAAGAAGCACCGGCUAACUACGUG